RNAcentral lists this long non-coding RNA (288 nucleotides) under Nicotiana benthamiana. RNAcentral describes it as "long non-coding RNA (NBEN_LNC014862)". Lineage: Eukaryota; Viridiplantae; Streptophyta; Magnoliopsida; Solanales; Solanaceae. The record is from RNAcentral.
AAAAAGUUAAGAAAAAGGGUUUUUUUAUUACUUAAAUGCAUUUUUAUUUUCUGUUUAUUAUAUGUGUCAAAUUUCUAUUACACAUUACACGCGCUAUUCAUUAAUUGGCCCAUUUGUCACGUCAUUAGCGAGUGUAACUCACGUAUAUGAUCUAUUGCAUUCGGGUAUUUAUUUGAUUUGGUUAUGGACACUUGAAGUGUCUAAAUGGGUCAUUUGAGGUAUUUGUCUGGUCGUUGUGGACAACUUAAAGGGGCCGUUUAUGUAUUUUUCCUAAAUAUUAAUAUUAAA